AGGGCAGUAGCUCAAUUGGCAGAGUUCCGGUCUCCAAAACCGGCGGUUGGGGGUUCAAAUCCCUCCUGCCCUGCAA
This 76-nucleotide transfer RNA is filed under the name Candidatus Nanopelagicaceae bacterium. RNAcentral describes it as "tRNA-Trp". It matches the Rfam family "tRNA". From Rfam's summary of the family: Transfer RNA (tRNA) molecules are approximately 80 nucleotides in length. The record is from RNAcentral. RNAcentral also lists the same sequence under 1 other name. Lineage: Bacteria; Bacillati; Actinomycetota; Actinomycetes; Candidatus Nanopelagicales; Candidatus Nanopelagicaceae.